GACGAACGCUGGCGGCGUGCUUAACACAUGCAAGUCGAACGGAAAGGCCCUGCUUUUGUGGGGUGCUCGAGUGGCGAACGGGUGAGUAACACGUGAGUAACCUGCCCUUGACUUUGGGAUAACUUCAGGAAACUGGGGCAAAUACCGGAUAGGAGCUCCUGCUGCAUGGAGGGGGUUGGAAAGUUUCGGCGGUUGGGGAUGGACUCGCGGCUUAUCAGCUUGUUGGUGGGGUAGUGGCUUACCAAGGCUUUGACGGGUAGCCGGCCUGAGAGGGUGACCGGCCACAUUGGGACUGAGAUACGGCCCAGAGCCCUACGGGAGGCAGCAGUGGGGAAUAUUGCACGAUGGGCCGAAGCCUGAUGCAGCAACGCCGCGUGCGGGAUGACGGCCUUCGUGUUGUAGACCACUUUGGCCUGUGCCGAAGCCUGAGUGACGGUACUGGGUAAAGAAGCACCGGCUAACUACGUG
Molecule: ribosomal RNA, 468 nt
Filed under: uncultured bacterium
Lineage: Bacteria
Description: partial 16S ribosomal RNA
Rfam family: Bacterial small subunit ribosomal RNA
Source: RNAcentral